This 253-nucleotide ribosomal RNA is filed under the name uncultured bacterium. RNAcentral describes it as "partial 16S ribosomal RNA". It matches the Rfam family "Bacterial small subunit ribosomal RNA", at positions 524 to 776 of the family's 1533-position model. The record is from RNAcentral.
UACGUAGGGUGCGAGCGUUGUCCGGAAUUACUGGGCGUAAAGAGCUCGUAGGUGGUUUGUCGCGUUGUUCGUGAAAACCGGGGGCUUAACCCUCGGCGUGCGGGCGAUACGGGCAGACUUGAGUACUGCAGGGGAGACUGGAAUUCCUGGUGUAGCGGUGAAAUGCGCAGAUAUCAGGAGGAACACCGGUGGCGAAGGCGGUUCUCUGGGCAUGUCCUGACGCUGAGGAGCGAAAGUGUGGGGAGCGAACAGG